RNAcentral lists this ribosomal RNA (273 nucleotides) under Clostridioides difficile. RNAcentral describes it as "partial 16S ribosomal RNA". It matches the Rfam family "Bacterial small subunit ribosomal RNA", at positions 149 to 422 of the family's 1533-position model. The record is from RNAcentral. Lineage: Bacteria; Bacillati; Bacillota; Clostridia; Peptostreptococcales; Peptostreptococcaceae.
GUCUGAAAGGUAUGCUAAUACGGGAUAAUAUAUUUGGGAGGCAUCUCUUGAAUAUCAAAGGUGAGCCAGUACAGGAUGGACCCGCGUCUGAUUAGCGAGUUGGUAAGGUAACGGCUUACCAAGGCGACGAUCAGUAGCCGACCUGGGAGGGUGAUCGGCCACAUUGGAACUGAGACACGGUCCAAACUCCUACGGGAGGCAGCAGUGGGGAAUAUUGCACAAUGGGCGAAAGCCUGAUGCAGCAACGCCGCGUGAGUGAUGAAGGCCUUCGGG